GCCGUGUGUGACAGUUGAGCCCCAACAAGUUCACUGUGGGAAACUUCAGAGGAGAACACGACCUUGAACCGCAGAGAACCAAGCUAACAUGACACACUUGGUGCAGGGAAGUAGCCGGCCGGUAAAGCAACACCAGCUGUAGAGAGCUUUUGUUUUGAUGGGAAUACGCUGAAGGAAGCCGCAGCACUCCUACACAGAACAACAAAUGCAAAGGCUUCACCUGCAGGUUCACAGAGGCUCCAAUGACCUUCACUUCUCUGUUUGGCCCCUAAGCCACUAAAAGGGCGCCCAGCUUAAAGCUCCUGUUCACCCUGAACCCUCUACCCCGAGGCAAGCUGUCCCACCCUUUGUCCUCUCCUUCAUCACCUCCUCCGGC
This is a long non-coding RNA of Poeciliopsis prolifica (blackstripe livebearer), 376 nucleotides long. RefSeq lists it as uncharacterized. The record is from RefSeq and is a predicted model, not a curated record. The transcript has 3 exons. NCBI's taxonomy places the organism in Eukaryota, Metazoa, Chordata, Actinopteri, Cyprinodontiformes, Poeciliidae.